GACGAACGCCGGCGGCGUGCUUAACACAUGCAAGUCGAACGGAAAGGCCUUGCUUUUGUGGGGUGCUCGAGUGGCGAACGGGUGAGUAACACGUGAGUAACCUGCCCUUGACUUUGGGAUAACUUCAGGAAACUGGGGCUAAUACCGGAUAGGAGCUCCUGCUGCAUGGUGGGGGUUGGAAAGUUUCGGCGGUUGGGGAUGGACUCGCGGCUUAUCAGCUUGUUGGUGGGGUAGUGGCUUACCAAGGCUUUGACGGGUAGCCGGCCUGAGAGGGUGACCGGCCACAUUGGGACUGAGAUACGGCCCAGACUCCUACGGGAGGCAGCAGUGGGGAAUAUUGCACAAUGGGCGGAAGCCUGAUGCAGCAACGCCGCGUGCGGGAUGACGGCCUUCGGGUUGUAAACCGCUUUCGCCUGUGACGAAGCGUGAGUGACGGUAAUGGGUAAAGAAGCACCGGCUAACUACGUG
This 468-nucleotide ribosomal RNA is filed under the name uncultured bacterium. RNAcentral describes it as "partial 16S ribosomal RNA". It matches the Rfam family "Bacterial small subunit ribosomal RNA", at positions 28 to 507 of the family's 1533-position model. The record is from RNAcentral.